CACUAAAAUAAUAAUCAUAGUUUCAUAUAGUACGUAAAAGGCAAUUUAUCGCAGCAGAAUUAAAAUGGCGAAUAAGUGUGCAGAAAUUAAUGAAAAAAUAAGAAAAAGUUAGUAGGCUAGUACAGACAGAGAAUGAUUUUUGUUUCCUUAGAAUUAAUUACAGAUAUAGAUAAAGUAAUGAUGAUAGAAAGAGGAAUUAGAGGAGGAAUUUCACAGUAAUCGAUACGGAAAAGCAAAUAAUAAAUAUAUGGGAAAAGAAUAUGAUCCUAAAAUAGAGCCAUCAUAUUUAAUGUACUUUGAUGUAAACAAUUUAUAUGGAACCGCUAUGUGUGAGGCCUUACCGCAAGGUGGUGUCAUUGAUUGUGACUAUACCGGAGAAGUCCAAAUAGUCCUAUUUAAUCAUUCUGAGAAAGAUUUCUUCAUUAAGUCUGGCGAUCGAAUAGCUCAACUAAUAUGUGAGAAAAUUUAUUUUCCGAAAUUACGAGAAGUUGCAACUUUAGAAAAAACUGAACGUGCAGAUAAUGGUUUCGGAUCAUCUGGAGUAGCAUAAUUUAUUUAUUUUUUGUCAUAUACAUAAAUAAUAUCUAAUUAUUUACAAUACUAUUAUGUUACGUAUAAUAUAAAAAAUAAUUGUUUGUAAACUAAUUAUCCAUUUUAAUACAUAUAUUAACUCAUACCUUUAUUAUAAGCUAAGACUUCGUUUCAAUAAUGGUACUCUAUUGGAAAAUAAAGAAUGGAGAGCUAUUAGUGGAGAAUUAGAUCAAGAAAAUUCAUACUGUACUGCAUCAUCAAUCGUUAAACAUCAAAAUACUAAUUGUUUACAAACAAAUAGUUUAGGUUCGCCAGAGAUAAUCAAUAUUUACAUGUAUGUAACACAAAUGUUUAUUAUAAUAAUAUUUGGAUUUAUAUUAACUAAAAUGCUGUAUUUUAGGUAGCCAACAACAACAACAAUUUCAGAAUGUAAAUCGUUUACUUUAAUAAGAUAUUUAUUAAAUUAAUAUUAUAAUAA
This is a long non-coding RNA of Anthonomus grandis grandis, 1009 nucleotides long. RefSeq lists it as uncharacterized. Lineage: Eukaryota; Metazoa; Arthropoda; Insecta; Coleoptera; Curculionidae. The transcript has 3 exons. The record is from RefSeq and is a predicted model, not a curated record.